This 354-nucleotide ribosomal RNA is filed under the name Triticum aestivum (bread wheat). RNAcentral describes it as "partial small subunit ribosomal RNA". Lineage: Eukaryota; Viridiplantae; Streptophyta; Magnoliopsida; Poales; Poaceae. The record is from RNAcentral.
AUGGUGAUCCGUGCCUCGCUUUAUGCGGAUGAUGCUGCCGUGUUCCUUGCGCCCAUUAAAGUUGACAUCGAUUUUUUCACGGACUCCCUUGCGUGGUUUGGAGAGGUCACCGGUUUGACCACGAACUGCUCUAAAAGUUUGGUUGCUCCGAUUCGGUGUGGAAACUUAGACUUUGGUGAUAUCCUGCAUUCCUUUCCGGCCAGCUGCUCAUCAUUCCCCAUGAAAUACCUUGGUUUGCCUCUAUCGGUUAAAGGUCUGAAGCGCAUCCACUUCCAGCCGCUUGAAGAUAAGAUCGCUACCCAGCUCACCCCUUGGCUUGGCAAACUAAUGGCUGCUCCGGGCAGAGAGGUACUG